AACGUGGGAGGCAAGCGUUAUUGAUCUUAACUGGGUCUAAAGGGUCCGUAAAACGGUAAAUUAAGCGAAAAUAUAAUAAUUUAAUCGAACUGAUUUACUAGAGUCUUAUAGAGGAACAGAGGAAUUGCAAGAGUAAGGAUGAAAUCUAUUGAUACUUGUAGGACCGCCAAAGGCGAAGGCAUCGUUCCAGGUAAAGUCUGACGUUGAGGGACGUAGGCGUUGGGAGCGAAAAGG
Molecule: ribosomal RNA, 234 nt
Filed under: uncultured bacterium
Lineage: Bacteria
Description: partial 16S ribosomal RNA
Rfam family: Bacterial small subunit ribosomal RNA
Source: RNAcentral